CAAACCCUACGGGGGGCAGCAGUGGGGGAUAUUGCACAAUGGGGGAAACCCUGAUGCAGCGACGCCGCGUGAGUGAAGAAGUAUUUCGGUACGUAAAGCUCUAUCAGCAGGGAAGAAUAAUGACGGUACCUGACUAAGAAGCCCCGGCUAACUACGUGCCAGCAGCCGCGGUAAUACGUAGGGGGCAAGCGUUAUCCGGAUUUACUGGGUUUAAAGGGUGCGCAGGCGGACCAUCAAGUCAGCGGUAAAAUCGUGGGGUCCAACCCCAUCCCGCCGUUGAAACUGGCGGUCUUGAGUGAGCGAGA
This 305-nucleotide ribosomal RNA is filed under the name uncultured bacterium. Its description in RNAcentral is "bacterial SSU rRNA". It matches the Rfam family "Bacterial small subunit ribosomal RNA", at positions 333 to 655 of the family's 1533-position model. The record is from RNAcentral.